AACGAGGCCGACCUGCGGCUGAGUUACCUGCGGAGGGAUCAUUACAGAGAUUGAUGCACCAAGUGCAUCACCUCCAACCCCUUGCGAAAACAACUAUCAUGUGUUGCUUUGGCAGUGUUUCCACUGCCAGAGGUUUACAUAAAAUCAGCUGUUGGAUGUUGUCUGAGUAAACUAUAUGAAUUAUUUAAAACUUUCAACAAUGGAUCU
Molecule: unclassified non-coding RNA, 207 nt
Filed under: soil metagenome
Description: partial contains 5.8S ribosomal RNA, internal transcribed spacer 2, and large subunit ribosomal RNA
Source: RNAcentral